Ictidomys tridecemlineatus (thirteen-lined ground squirrel) is the source of this 72-nucleotide non-coding RNA. The record is from Rfam. NCBI's taxonomy places the organism in Eukaryota, Metazoa, Chordata, Mammalia, Rodentia, Sciuridae.
GUUUCUGUAGUGUAGUGGUUAUCACUUUCACCUCACACAUGAAAGUCCCCAGUUCAAAACCAGGCAGAAACA